Non-coding RNA from Cyanistes caeruleus (blue tit), 2211 nucleotides. NCBI's taxonomy places the organism in Eukaryota, Metazoa, Chordata, Aves, Passeriformes, Paridae. The record is from RefSeq and is a predicted model, not a curated record.
GGGCUGCGCUGGCUGAGGAGGGAUGAGGCAGUGCGGGCGUUGUACGGAGCUUCUGGGGGCUGAGAGAGUCUGGCUAAACUUGAAAACCACCAGCAAAAGUGUAGCUCACAAAAAUGCCAGCUGAGAAAGCUGUUGCUGGCCAGAACUGCCACGGCACCCAUCGAGCUGCACCCACAUACCCUGCUGUCAGCACUUUUCUUCUCAGCUCUGUGUACCAUCAGAAUCCUUCAGUCUCUCAGAGUCAGAAGCCAAACCUCAAUUGCAGUGCUGAUUGCUCACAGACUAAAGCUACCGAGACAAAAGGCUCAACACCUUGGCUUUUGCAUUCUCACUGUAACACUUCAGCAGCUCUAACCCAUGGAACUGGAAAGUAGGAAACACAAAUUCACCAAGAUCACCCAAAGAAGGGAGAAAAGGCACCACAAGGUAAGGGAGGGGUAGGUAAGUCAUGGCAGCAGCACGGUAUGUAAGGUAAGGCAAGAGAGCCAUAGAAAGGGAAGGAAACCAGCAAGGCCUUGUGUUUCAGGUGCACAUGAUGGGCUACUGAGUAAACACCAGCUUUCUGUUCUGACACCUCUGGUGUAGAAAAUCCAAGUAUCAUGUGAAAAGGUGAGGCAUCCUUGACUCUUAGUGUUUAAUUUCUGUCAACUUCCCAGGAAGGCUCUAAAAACUACGUUAUCCCACUACGGACUAAGUACAACCAAAAUACAAUUAGUACAGGUUUUAUCCACUUUCUUGAGCCCCAUGUUGGGCACCAAAAUAUUUGUCAUGGUUUGAGACAAAUUUGGGAGUAAACUUCCCAAAGGGUCUCCUCUAAAAAAGCAGAUUCUAGCAGCCCCUGCCCCAAUGAAUUCGGGAGAAAAUCUUGGAGAAAAUGGGGAAGAAAAAAAAAAAAAGUUUAUUUAGCAAGCAAAGUAUUCACAAGCAUGAAAAGAUAAAUAAUAUUAACCUAUAAAACCUCUCAUUAUUCUGAAGAGCUGGCAAAUUCAAAGAGUCCUGUUGUUCAGAGAGUCCUCUGUGGGUGUUGUUCAGUCUCAGUGUCUCUGGGGUUCGGGCCACAGUGCAGCUUGGGUGGCUCCCAGGUGAUUGUCCCAGACCAGAGAAAAGCUGAACAGUUCCAGAAAAUAAAAACACCAUCACAGGAAAAACUUUCUUGACUCAGCUCAUAGACAUGAAAGUAUCUUUAAAAAAAAGCAGAGGAAAGCUGUCUUCCCUCUAUCCAUGCUGCAGACAGCACACUGAGAGAAAGGAAUCCCAGGGGAGGAAACAGAGCUUUCAGAAAAAACAUUCUGUUGUUUCUCCCCCUUGUUCACUCUUAAAGGCACAAAACUUAUAUCUGGACCAAAAAGACAGAUGAUGGGGAUACCAGACCAUACAGUCACCCCAGGACAAUGUUCCAUCACACACUUUCAGUCUCACAAUGCCUAAACUGUCAAUAGAUGUCCCACACAGAAAAAAUGUGGCAGGACAAAAACAGUUGUUGGAUUAGCCUUGCAACCUUUCCAGAACACACCACACAUUGACGCUAUGGACCUUCCUUCUCAGCUCUGUGUCCUGUUGUACUGUCACAUUUUUUUCACUCUUGCAAAUCAUAGAUUGCAAAUUUUAAAAGUCCAGGAGCUGAUCCCAUACGGAAGGUCUUAAAGCAAAAAGCUGUUCUUUUCUCCUUCCCUUACAACCAGUGAACUACUUCAAACACACCUCUGCAUUGCACUUUUCAACUAUUUUCACCAUCACAAACUCUCAGUCUCAUAGUCUAAAUAGAAACCAAAGUCUCCAAGUGCAGCUUGUACAGAUAAUUAUGUGUGCCAUGAGAGAAAGAUUUUGGUGACCUAACCUUAUAACUGCACCCCUCCCUGUGCCUCUUUGUUCCUCCACAUUAAGCCCUGGCAUCUCAUCCAGUCUCCCCUGCCCCAGGGUGGCCCUUGUCCCUGCUUCUCUGUGCCUCUGUCCCUGUGUCCCCUGCUCAGUGCCUCUUCAUUCCUCCUGUCUUCCCACUGUCACAUCUCUGGUCUCACCUCAUCCUGUCCCACAUCACCCCAUCAUUCCUCAGGCAAAUAUCAAACAUUUGUGCUUUUAUUGUGGUUCUUCCCCAUAUGUUUGGAUUUUAAAAGGGACAAAUUCUCUGUUUUCUGAGGGGGUUUACUCCAAGUGCGGAAAUGAGCAGGUCCAGAAGAUAGGAAAUGCUUUGGAAAUUACCACAGAAGGCAC